GACGAACCGUACGAACGUUAUUCGGAAUCACUGGGCUUAAAGGGUGCGUAGGCGGCGCAGAAAGUAGGGUGUGAAAUCCCUCGGCUCAACCGAGGAACUGCGCCCUAAACUACUGUGCUCGAGGGAGAUAGAGGUGAGCGGAACUUAGGGUGGAGCGGUGAAAUGCGUUGAUAUCCUAAGGAACACCGGUGGCGAAAGCGGCUCACUGGAUCUCUUCUGACGCUGAGGCACGAAAGCUAGGGGAGCAAACAGG
This 253-nucleotide ribosomal RNA is filed under the name uncultured bacterium. Its description in RNAcentral is "partial 16S ribosomal RNA". It matches the Rfam family "Bacterial small subunit ribosomal RNA", at positions 524 to 776 of the family's 1533-position model. The record is from RNAcentral.